UCCACCCGAAGGUGGUCCUUGAGAGAAGGUCUUAGAUGUUUAGAAGAGGUUAUGUUACAUUCUUUGGUAUCACUUAUUAUUUCCUUCAGGCAAACCACAUGUCAGAGGACUUCAAUCUGAAAAUGACAACCACAGUUUCCUAUUAGACAAGAAGUGACAGGUUACCGUAAUCCAGAUGUCCUUGAAGUUAGAAGCACUUAGGAAAACUUUUGCUUUGAGUGCAUUGUAUAGGACCACAUUAACAGGU
This 247-nucleotide long non-coding RNA is filed under the name Homo sapiens (human). RNAcentral describes it as "HSALNT0313322". The record is from RNAcentral. Lineage: Eukaryota; Metazoa; Chordata; Mammalia; Primates; Hominidae.